Molecule: long non-coding RNA, 1137 nt
Organism: Ipomoea triloba (trilobed morning glory)
Lineage: Eukaryota; Viridiplantae; Streptophyta; Magnoliopsida; Solanales; Convolvulaceae
Exons: 5
Source: RefSeq, a predicted model, not a curated record
GCAAGCAGUGAGUUAGCCAAAUUGGCUCUUGCAUUUGCGGAGCCGAAAUGGCAAGGCUCUACAGUAAUUUUUUUUUUUUUUUUUAAUUAUAUCUCAUCUUUAGGCCUCAUUCUUUUCUACCGUGGACUUUUCCUUUGCUUUUGGUCUCAUUCUUUUCUACCUUGCUCUCUGUCUAAAAUCUCAUCUGCCCUUCAAAGUCAGCCUUCUUCUCCAAGGAGUAGAGCUAGAUGAAUUGACGGCAAAGAUAGAGCCUCGGAUCAACCACCAUGUAGAUUGAGAGCCACAUAUUACAGAAGGAAAUUUGUUAUGCAUAAUGCAAGAGAAUACGCUGUGACAAAAGGGGCUGUGUCAGACUGAUCAAAGCAAGCCUCGCCUUUGCGCUAAGCCCUCGGCGUUUGAGAGGACAAAGUGAAGAGUUUUUGAGAAGGUGGUGAAUUUCAGAGCAGAAGGUGGUGAAUUUCAGAGCUGAGUUUUCAACAAGGAAGGGAAUUUUGAAAGCAAGCAGAAAUUUAGCAAAGGAUGUAGAGACUAUAGAGGACCAGCCUAGUGAGAGAAAUGUGAAUGCUCAGUGGUGCAACUCUUCUCUUGUUGCAGAUAGUGUUUCUUAUGAUGAUCAAAAUAUACACACAGACUGCUUUGAUUAUGGUGUUCUGUCUCAUUAUCCUGAGACACGGUUGAUGUCCUCAAUGGAGCCGCUCCAAAAUAUAGGAAAGUAUCAGGGAAUGAGAAGACAUAUUGGAUCUAAGUUCUUUGGCAGCUUGUGGAUCUGGUGAUACCUCUGGGCAGAAAGAUAGUUGCUUUGAAGUUCCAGUCAGUUUAGGGAAUACUCCAACCUUGAAGGGAAGAUCGGAGGCAGUCUUCAAUAAUUAAGAUUGCAAUACAAGUUUGCUAAGCUAUGACAAAAAUCCAUCUGUAUACCUUGAGAAAGAAGCAAAGGGCUUUGAUGUAAAAGUUUCCAAUCAGGAAUGGCCUAUGUUGCAGAGGCCUGUCGCUAUGUGUUGUUGGAUAUUAAGUCCCUGAAAACGAUUUCCAAAGAUGCAUCUUCUGACUCAAACACAUCAUUUAAAAGGAAGGUCCAGAAGAAAUUAAAAAAAAAAAAACCCCUUUUUUGAAAUGAAACUGAGAAAUUUGGAUCAA